Molecule: ribosomal RNA, 253 nt
Filed under: uncultured bacterium
Lineage: Bacteria
Description: partial 16S ribosomal RNA
Rfam family: Bacterial small subunit ribosomal RNA
Source: RNAcentral
UACGAAGGGUGCAAGCGUUACUCGGAAUUACUGGGCGUAAAGCGUGCGUAGGUGGUUUGUUAAGUCUGAUGUGAAAGCCCUGGGCUCAACCUGGGAAUUGCAUUGGAUACUGGCAGGCUAGAGUGCGGUAGAGGGUAGUGGAAUUCCCGGUGUAGCGGUGAAAUGCGUAGAUAUUCGGAAGAACACCAGUGGCGAAGGCGGCUCACUGGCCCGAUACUGACGCUGAGGCACGAAAGCGUGGGGAGCAAACAGG